GAUGAAGAACGUAGCGAAAUGCGAUAAGUAAUGCGAAUUGCAGAAUUCCGUGAGUCAUCGAAUCUUUGAACGCACAUUGCGCCCUUUGGCAUUCCGAAGGGCAUGCCUGUUCGAGCGUCAUUUAUCAACCCUCAAGCCCGGCUUGCGGUUGGGUCCCGCCGUGGGCGACCACGGCGGACCCGAAAGGUAAUGGCGGUGCCCGUGGGGCCCUGGACGCAGCGAGCUUCUCGGCACGCGUCCCGGCGGUCCCCGGCGCCGUCUCCACCAAUCCACCACGCAGAUUGACCUCGGAUCAGGUAGGGAUACCCGCUGAACUUAAGCAUAUCAAUAAGCGGAA
Molecule: unclassified non-coding RNA, 337 nt
Filed under: soil metagenome
Description: partial contains 5.8S ribosomal RNA, internal transcribed spacer 2, and large subunit ribosomal RNA
Rfam family: 5.8S ribosomal RNA (bases 1-120)
Source: RNAcentral